Molecule: ribosomal RNA, 393 nt
Filed under: uncultured bacterium
Lineage: Bacteria
Description: partial 16S ribosomal RNA
Rfam family: Bacterial small subunit ribosomal RNA
Source: RNAcentral
AUACGGAGGAUCCGAGCGUUAUCCGGAUUUAUUGGGUUUAAAGGGUGCGCAGGCGGGAGAUUAAGUCGGCGGUGAAAUUUUGCAGCUCAACUGUAAAAGUGCCUUCGAAACUGGUUUCCUUGAGUGUAGAUGAAGUAGGCGGGGUUUGUGGUGUAGCGGGGAAAUGCAUAGAUAUCACGAGGAACUCCGAUUGCGCAGGCAGCUUACUAAACUACUACUGACGCUCAGGCACGAAGGCGUGGGGAUCAAACAGGAUUAGAUACCCUGGUAGACCACGCAGUAAACGAUGAUUACUAGCUGUUUGCGAUACAAUGUAAGCGGCUGAGCGAAAGCGUUAAGUAAUCCACCUGGGGAGUACGUUCGCAAGAAUGAAACUCAAAGGAAUUGACGGGG